RNAcentral lists this ribosomal RNA (1209 nucleotides) under Lacticaseibacillus paracasei. RNAcentral's name for it is "bacterial SSU rRNA". It matches the Rfam family "Bacterial small subunit ribosomal RNA", at positions 116 to 1312 of the family's 1533-position model. The record is from RNAcentral. Lineage: Bacteria; Bacillati; Bacillota; Bacilli; Lactobacillales; Lactobacillaceae.
CGUGGGUAACCUGCCCUUAAGUGGGGGAUAACAUUUGGAAACAGAUGCUAAUACCGCAUAGAUCCAAGAACCGCAUGGUUCUUGGCUGAAAGAUGGCGUAAGCUAUCGCUUUUGGAUGGACCCGCGGCGUAUUAGCUAGUUGGUGAGGUAAUGGCUCACCAAGGCGAUGAUACGUAGCCGAACUGAGAGGUUGAUCGGCCACAUUGGGACUGAGACACGGCCCAAACUCCUACGGGAGGCAGCAGUAGGGAAUCUUCCACAAUGGACGCAAGUCUGAUGGAGCAACGCCGCGUGAGUGAAGAAGGCUUUCGGGUCGUAAAACUCUGUUGUUGGAGAAGAAUGGUCGGCAGAGUAACUGUUGUCGGCGUGACGGUAUCCAACCAGAAAGCCACGGCUAACUACGUGCCAGCAGCCGCGGUAAUACGUAGGUGGCAAGCGUUAUCCGGAUUUAUUGGGCGUAAAGCGAGCGCAGGCGGUUUUUUAAGUCUGAUGUGAAAGCCCUCGGCUUAACCGAGGAAGCGCAUCGGAAACUGGGAAACUUGAGUGCAGAAGAGGACAGUGGAACUCCAUGUGUAGCGGUGAAAUGCGUAGAUAUAUGGAAGAACACCAGUGGCGAAGGCGGCUGUCUGGUCUGUAACUGACGCUGAGGCUCGAAAGCAUGGGUAGCGAACAGGAUUAGAUACCCUGGUAGUCCAUGCCGUAAACGAUGAAUGCUAGGUGUUGGAGGGUUUCCGCCCUUCAGUGCCGCAGCUAACGCAUUAAGCAUUCCGCCUGGGGAGUACGACCGCAAGGUUGAAACUCAAAGGAAUUGACGGGGGCCCGCACAAGCGGUGGAGCAUGUGGUUUAAUUCGAAGCAACGCGAAGAACCUUACCAGGUCUUGACAUCUUUUGAUCACCUGAGAGAUCAGGUUUCCCCUUCGGGGGCAAAAUGACAGGUGGUGCAUGGUUGUCGUCAGCUCGUGUCGUGAGAUGUUGGGUUAAGUCCCGCAACGAGCGCAACCCUUAUGACUAGUUGCCAGCAUUUAGUUGGGCACUCUAGUAAGACUGCCGGUGACAAACCGGAGGAAGGUGGGGAUGACGUCAAAUCAUCAUGCCCCUUAUGACCUGGGCUACACACGUGCUACAAUGGAUGGUACAACGAGUUGCGAGACCGCGAGGUCAAGCUAAUCUCUUAAAGCCAUUCUCAGUUCGGACUGUAGGCUGCAACU